AAUUCCAGUGACAUUCAAUUUUUGUAAUGGCAAAAUAUUUUUAAGAAACUGCAAACAAAUGCAAAUGUGCAGUCGAUGUGUGGAAUGCGACAACAUUAUACUCGAUAAUUUCAAUUAUUGAGAGUGUUGUGGCUUAGAAACAAUUAGGCAGUUAAGAAUAAACAAGGCUCGGGCACUAUCAAACCUUCUUCCUAAAAAGCAAAAAGCUGCUUCUGCUGCAUCACAAGAUUUAUUUGAUGACUUUCAGGUUGAUAACGAAGAGUUGACGGUAAUCGAGGAUUCAUUGAUGAUUGAUGAUGCUUCUUCAGACAACAAGAAAAAACAGCUACUGUCAGUCAGCUUCUUCGGACAACAAGGAAAAACAGCUGCUGUCAGUCAGCAGUGAUUUUAUUUCUUUAGAAGAAGAAGAA
Long non-coding RNA from Ostrinia nubilalis (European corn borer), 410 nucleotides. RefSeq lists it as uncharacterized. NCBI's taxonomy places the organism in Eukaryota, Metazoa, Arthropoda, Insecta, Lepidoptera, Crambidae. The record is from RefSeq and is a predicted model, not a curated record. The transcript has 3 exons.